Thermodesulfovibrio yellowstonii DSM 11347 is the source of this 73-nucleotide transfer RNA. It matches the Rfam family "tRNA". From Rfam's summary of the family: Transfer RNA (tRNA) molecules are approximately 80 nucleotides in length. Their secondary structure includes four short double-helical elements and three loops (D, anti-codon, and T loops). NCBI's taxonomy places the organism in Bacteria, Pseudomonadati, Nitrospirota, Thermodesulfovibrionia, Thermodesulfovibrionales, Thermodesulfovibrionaceae. The record is from Rfam.
GCGGGUGUAGCUCAGCUGGUAGAGCACAACCUUGCCAAGGUUGGGGUCGCGGGUUCAAAUCCCGUCGCCCGCU